RNAcentral lists this non-coding RNA (114 nucleotides) under Bacillus methanolicus. RNAcentral's name for it is "SAM-I sequence". It matches the Rfam family "SAM riboswitch aptamer (S box leader)". Rfam says of the family: The SAM riboswitch is found upstream of a number of genes which code for proteins involved in methionine or cysteine biosynthesis in Gram-positive bacteria. The SAM riboswitch acts at the level of transcription termination control. The record is from RNAcentral. RNAcentral also lists the same sequence under 1 other name. Lineage: Bacteria; Bacillati; Bacillota; Bacilli; Caryophanales; Bacillaceae.
CUCUUAUCAAGAGAGGUGGAGGGAUGUGCCCUAUGAAGCCCGGCAACCGUCACUGCCAGUUAUGCGGUGAAAUGGUGCCAAUUCACACAAAGCGUUAGCUUUGAGAGAUGAGAG